GCCUCCGUGGCGUAACGGAUAAGGCAUCGGUCUCCUAAACUCGGGAUUGCGGAUUCGAAUUCCGCCGAGGGUU
Molecule: transfer RNA, 73 nt
Filed under: Tropilaelaps mercedesae
Lineage: Eukaryota; Metazoa; Arthropoda; Arachnida; Mesostigmata; Laelapidae
Rfam family: tRNA
About the family: Transfer RNA (tRNA) molecules are approximately 80 nucleotides in length.
Source: Rfam by way of RNAcentral